Molecule: ribosomal RNA, 390 nt
Filed under: uncultured bacterium
Lineage: Bacteria
Description: bacterial SSU rRNA
Rfam family: Bacterial small subunit ribosomal RNA
Source: RNAcentral
GACGAACGCUGGCGGCGUGCUUAACACAUGCAAGUCGAGCGGUAAGGCCCUUUCGGGGGUACACGAGCGGCGAACGGGUGAGUAACACGUGGGUGACCUGCCCUCAGCUCUGGGAUAAGCCUGGGAAACCGGGUCUAAUACUGGAUAUGACUCCAUGACGCAUGUUGUGGGGUGGAAAGCCUUGUGCGGCUGAGGAUGGGCCCGCGGCCUAUCAGCUUGUUGGUGGGGUGAGGCCUACCAAGGCGACGACGGGUAGCCGGCCUGAGAGGGCGACCGGCCACACUGGGACUGAGACACGGCCCAGACUCCCACGGGAGGCAGCAGUGGGGAAUCUUGCGCAAUGGGCGAAAGCCUGACGCAGCGACGCCGCGUGAGGGAUGACGGCCUCGG